This 496-nucleotide ribosomal RNA is filed under the name uncultured bacterium. RNAcentral describes it as "partial 16S ribosomal RNA". It matches the Rfam family "Bacterial small subunit ribosomal RNA", at positions 29 to 507 of the family's 1533-position model. The record is from RNAcentral.
AUGAACGCUGGCGGCGUGCCUAAUACAUGCAAGUCGAGCGAACAGAUGAGGAGCUUGCUCCUCUGACGUUAGCGGCGGACGGGUGAGUAACACGUGGAUAACCUACCUAUAAGACUGGGAUAACUUCGGGAAACCGGAGCUAAUACCAGAUAAUAUAUUGAACCGCAUGGUUCAAUAGUGAAAGACGGUUUUGCUGUCACUUAUAGAUGGAUCCGCGCCGCAUUAGCUAGUUGGUAAGGUAACGGCUUACCAAGGCAACGAUGCGUAGCCGACCUGAGAGGGUGAUCGGCCACACUGGAACUGAGACACGGUCCAGACUCCUACGGGAGGCAGCAGUAGGGAAUCUUCCGCAAUGGGCGAAAGCCUGACGGAGCAACGCCGCGUGAGUGAUGAAGGUCUUCGGAUCGUAAAACUCUGUUAUUAGGGAAGAACAAAUGUGUAAGUAACUAUGCACGUCUUGACGGUACCUAAUCAGAAAGCCACGGCUAACUACGUG